This 343-nucleotide ribosomal RNA is filed under the name uncultured bacterium. Its description in RNAcentral is "bacterial SSU rRNA". It matches the Rfam family "Bacterial small subunit ribosomal RNA", at positions 29 to 353 of the family's 1533-position model. The record is from RNAcentral.
AACGAACGCUGGCGGCGUGCCUAACACAUGCAAGUCGUGCGGGAAAGUUCCCUUCGGGGAGCGAGUAUAGCGGCGCACGGGUGAGUAAUACGUAGGUAACCUGCCCUCAAGUUCGGGACAACCUGUCGAAAGACGGGCUAAUACCGGAUGAGACCACGAGAGCUGCGGCUCUUGGGGUCAAAGGUGGCCUCUGCUUGCAAGCUAUCGCUUGAGGAUGGGCCUGCGCGCCAUUAGCUAGUUGGUGGGGAACGGCCGUACCAAGGCAGAGAUGGCUAGCUGGUCUGAGAGGAUGACCAGCCACACUGGGACUGAGACACGGCCCAGACUCCUACGGGAGGCAGCA